AGGGUGUAAAACGCUGCAGACUUGGUGUUGGAUGGCUCCGAGCUGCCCCAGUGCCGAAGGGAAGUCUGUUAAGUCCACCGCCUGGGAAGUACGGUCGCAAGACUGAAACUUAAAGGAACUUGGCGGGGGAGCACCACAACGCGUGGAGCCUGCGGUUUAAUUGGAUUCAACGCCGGACAUCUCACCAGGGGCGACACGCAGAAUGAUGGCCAGGUUGAUGACCUUGCUUGACAAUCUGAGAGGAGGUGCAUGGCGUGUGACUGU
Molecule: ribosomal RNA, 264 nt
Filed under: uncultured archaeon
Lineage: Archaea
Description: partial 16S ribosomal RNA
Rfam family: Archaeal small subunit ribosomal RNA
Source: RNAcentral